This 182-nucleotide long non-coding RNA is filed under the name Fukomys damarensis (Damara mole-rat). RNAcentral's name for it is "lncRNA (ENSFDAG00000029853.1)". The record is from RNAcentral. Lineage: Eukaryota; Metazoa; Chordata; Mammalia; Rodentia; Bathyergidae.
GCCGCGUCCGCCACCGCGGCUACUCGGACACCGAGCGCUACCUGUACUGCCGCGCCAUGGACCGCACCUCCUACGCGGUGGAGACUGGCCACCGGCCGGGCCUGAAGAAAUCCAGGAUGUCCUGGCCCUCCUCGUUCCAGGGACUCAGGCGUCUAGCAGCAGUGGUGAGCUGCCUUCAGUAA